UACGUAGGGUGCAAGCGUUGUCCGGAUUUACUGGGCGUAAAGAGCGCGUAGGCGGUCUGUUAAGUGAGAAGUGAAAUCUCCAGGGCUCAACCCGGAAACUGCUUUUCAUACUGGCAGACUUGAGGGAUGCAGAGGUUUGUGGAAUUCCUGGUGUAGCGGUGAAAUGCGUUGAUAUCAGGAGGAACACCCAUGGCGAAGGCAGCAAACUGGGCAUCAUCUGACGCUGAGGCGCGAAAGCGUGGGUAGCAAACAGG
Molecule: ribosomal RNA, 254 nt
Filed under: uncultured bacterium
Lineage: Bacteria
Description: partial 16S ribosomal RNA
Rfam family: Bacterial small subunit ribosomal RNA
Source: RNAcentral